GGAAGUAUGGCGAAAUGGUAGCCGCAAGAGUUUGCUAAACUCUCGUUGAGAAAUCGGCGUGUGGGUUCAAGUCCUACUACUUCCG
Molecule: transfer RNA, 85 nt
Filed under: Beta vulgaris subsp. vulgaris (sugar beet)
Lineage: Eukaryota; Viridiplantae; Streptophyta; Magnoliopsida; Caryophyllales; Amaranthaceae
Rfam family: tRNA
About the family: Transfer RNA (tRNA) molecules are approximately 80 nucleotides in length. Their secondary structure includes four short double-helical elements and three loops (D, anti-codon, and T loops). Further hydrogen bonds mediate the characteristic L-shaped molecular structure. tRNAs have two regions of fundamental functional importance: the anti-codon, which is responsible for specific mRNA codon recognition, and the 3' end, to which the tRNAs corresponding amino acid is attached (by aminoacyl-tRNA synthetases). tRNAs cope with the degeneracy of the genetic code in two manners: having more than one tRNA (with a specific anti-codon) for a particular amino acid; and 'wobble' base-pairing, i.e. permitting non-standard base-pairing at the 3rd anti-codon position.
Source: Rfam by way of RNAcentral